RNAcentral lists this ribosomal RNA (372 nucleotides) under Triticum aestivum (bread wheat). RNAcentral describes it as "partial small subunit ribosomal RNA". The record is from RNAcentral. Lineage: Eukaryota; Viridiplantae; Streptophyta; Magnoliopsida; Poales; Poaceae.
AUGGAGUGGGCACUGAGGAAUGUCAUCGACCUUCAGCGAGUAGUGGAAAUUUAUCCUGCCAAUCACGUUGAUGGCCCAUACUGGGUCGUGCAGUCGGAGGAUCAGAUGGAGCUGGUGUUGAAGAAUGACAUCAAUCUUCAGCCUGCACAUGACAAUGACAAAGCAAUGACGGAAGGCGAUUUUGACUGGGACUCUGACAAUGAAUACGUGGUUAGCACAGAUGAUUGGGAUGACAAGGGUGGUUAUCGGGAUUAUUUUUAUUGUCUUGGAUUUCAUCCUUACAAAGAGUUUGUUUUCUUUCAUGGGGCCUCCAGAACAGUGGCCUACAAUUUUGAUACCUGCAAAGUUCUAUACUUGGGUGAGAUGAGGUAA